Molecule: ribosomal RNA, 144 nt
Filed under: Streptosporangium minutum
Lineage: Bacteria; Bacillati; Actinomycetota; Actinomycetes; Streptosporangiales; Streptosporangiaceae
Description: partial 16S ribosomal RNA
Rfam family: Bacterial small subunit ribosomal RNA
Source: RNAcentral
UUGUUUGGAGAGUUUGAUCCUGGCUCAGGACGAACGCUGGCGGCGUGCUUAACACAUGCAAGUCGAGCGGAAAGGCCCUUCGGGGUACUCGAGCGGCGAACGGGUGAGUAACACGUGAGUAACCUGCCCCCGACUCUGGGAUAA